This 947-nucleotide ribosomal RNA is filed under the name Acinetobacter sp. Its description in RNAcentral is "bacterial SSU rRNA". It matches the Rfam family "Bacterial small subunit ribosomal RNA", at positions 397 to 1335 of the family's 1533-position model. Lineage: Bacteria; Pseudomonadati; Pseudomonadota; Gammaproteobacteria; Moraxellales; Moraxellaceae. The record is from RNAcentral.
CCGCGUGUGUGAAGAAGGCCUUUUGGUUGUAAAGCACUUUAAGCGAGGAGGAGGCUACCGAGAUUAAUACUCUUGGAUAGUGGACGUUACUCGCAGAAUAAGCACCGGCUAACUCUGUGCCAGCAGCCGCGGUAAUACAGAGGGUGCAAGCGUUAAUCGGAUUUACUGGGCGUAAAGCGCGCGUAGGUGGCCAAUUAAGUCAAAUGUGAAAUCCCCGAGCUUAACUUGGGAAUUGCAUUCGAUACUGGUUGGCUAGAGUAUGGGAGAGGAUGGUAGAAUUCCAGGUGUAGCGGUGAAAUGCGUAGAGAUCUGGAGGAAUACCGAUGGCGAAGGCAGCCAUCUGGCCUAAUACUGACACUGAGGUGCGAAAGCAUGGGGAGCAAACAGGAUUAGAUACCCUGGUAGUCCAUGCCGUAAACGAUGUCUACUAGCCGUUGGGGCCUUUGAGGCUUUAGUGGCGCAGCUAACGCGAUAAGUAGACCGCCUGGGGAGUACGGUCGCAAGACUAAAACUCAAAUGAAUUGACGGGGGCCCGCACAAGCGGUGGAGCAUGUGGUUUAAUUCGAUGCAACGCGAAGAACCUUACCUGGUCUUGACAUAGUAAGAACUUUCCAGAGAUGGAUUGGUGCCUUCGGGAACUUACAUACAGGUGCUGCAUGGCUGUCGUCAGCUCGUGUCGUGAGAUGUUGGGUUAAGUCCCGCAACGAGCGCAACCCUUUUCCUUAUUUGCCAGCGGGUUAAGCCGGGAACUUUAAGGAUACUGCCAGUGACAAACUGGAGGAAGGCGGGGACGACGUCAAGUCAUCAUGGCCCUUACGACCAGGGCUACACACGUGCUACAAUGGUCGGUACAAAGGGUUGCUACCUCGCGAGAGGAUGCUAAUCUCAAAAAGCCGAUCGUAGUCCGGAUUGGAGUCUGCAACUCGACUCCAUGAAGUCGGAAUCGC